UAGUGGCGGACGGGUGAGUAACGCGUGAGCAAUCUGCCUUUAGGUGGGGGACAACAGCUGGAAACGGCUGCUAAUACCGCAUAAUGCAACGAAAUCGCAUGGUUUUGUUGCCAAAGGAGCAAUCCGCCUUUAGAUGAGCUCGCGUCCCAUUAGAUAGUUGGCGGGGUAAUGGCCCACCAAGUCGACGAUGGGUAGCCGGACUGAGAGGUUGAACGGCCACAUUGGGACUGAGACACGGCCCAGACUCCUACGGGAGGCAGCAGUGGGGAAUAUUGCACAAUGGGCGAAAGCCUGAUGCAGCGACGCCGCGUGAGGGAUGACGGCCUUCGGGUCGUAAACCUCUUUCAGCAGGGAAGAAGCGCAAGUGACGGUACCUGCAGAAGAAGCGCCGGCUAACUACGUGCCAGCAGCCGCGGUAAUACGUAGGGCGCAAGCGUUGUCCGGAAUUAUUGGGCGUAAAGAGCUCGUAGGCGGUUUGUCGCGUCUGGUGUGAAAACUCGAGGCUCAACCUCGAGCUUGCAUCGGGUACGGGCAGACUAGAGUGCGGUAGGGGAGACUGGAAUUCCUGGUGUAGCGGUGGAAUGCGCAGAUAUCAGGAGGAACACCGAUGGCGAAGGCAGGUCUCUGGGCCGCAACUGACGCUGAGGAGCGAAAGCAUGGGGAGCGAACAGGAUUAGAUACCCUGGUAGUCCAUGCCGUAAACGUUGGGCACUAGGUGUGGGGCUCAUUCCACGAGUUCCGUGCCGCAGCAAACGCAUUAAGUGCCCCGCCUGGGGAGUACGGCCGCAAGGCUAAAACUCAAAGGAAUUGACGGGGGCCCGCACAAGCGGCGGAGCAUGCGGAUUAAUUCGAUGCAACGCGAAGAACCCUUACCAAGGCUUGACAUGCACGGGAAGCCACCAGAGAUGGUGGUCUCUUUGGACACUCGUGCACAGGUGGUGCAUGGUUGUCGUCAGCUCGUGUCGUGAGAUGUUGGGUUAAGUCCCGCAACGAGCGCAACCCUCGUCCCAUGUUGCCAGCGGGUUAUGCCGGGGACUCAUGGGAGACUGCCGGGGUCAACUCGGAGGAAGGUGGGGAUGACGUCAAAUCAUCAUGCCCCUUAUGUCUUGGGCUUCACGCAUGCUACAAUGGCCGGUACAAAGGGCUGCGAUACCGUAAGGUGGAGCGAAUCCCAAAAAGCCGGUCUCAGUUCGGAUUGGGGUCUGCAACUCGACCCCAUGAAGUCGGAGUCGCUAGUAAUCGCAGAUCAG
Molecule: ribosomal RNA, 1250 nt
Filed under: uncultured bacterium
Lineage: Bacteria
Description: bacterial SSU rRNA
Rfam family: Bacterial small subunit ribosomal RNA
Source: RNAcentral